This is a long non-coding RNA of Venturia canescens, 2199 nucleotides long. RefSeq lists it as uncharacterized. The transcript has 2 exons. NCBI's taxonomy places the organism in Eukaryota, Metazoa, Arthropoda, Insecta, Hymenoptera, Ichneumonidae. The record is from RefSeq and is a predicted model, not a curated record.
CGCGCGGGGAAACGGCUAGACUCCGCCUUCGCUGACUAGGCGAACGAAAGAGAAGGGGACCCCUUGCCUCGUCGUUGCGUAGAUACUCCAACCUCGAACCAACUCGAGAUAAUAUCAUCUAGAUCUUCCAACUGCCCUACUGCUCGUGCGUCCGUGCGCCCAUGUAGCUUCGCAAUACUGCAGAGAACGCGCCUCAUGCGUGUGGACUUGUGAGAGCGCCCGCGCCUUAUCUAUUUAUCAUACAGAUCUUUAUUUUUGGUUUUUAAUACUUUUUCUCAUUUCUCGCAUUGCUUUUAACAUUGGCUAAAUAAAGGAAAAUUAACUUUGAAGAGCGCUCCUCGUGCACUUUGCCAACUGUUUAUAGGUCAUCGCUCUCGACAUUUUUUCUUCCCGUUGUCUGGCUUUCGUCAGUUGUUGCUUCAUCUCGCUUACAAAGCCUGCAGAACGACGAAAACGACACGAAGCAAUUUCAGGAAUUUCGACUUUCAGACGAUCUUCGAUGCUCCUUGAGGCGAAAAAGUUUUUUAUACUUUUUGCAAUUUCUUUCGAAAUACUUUGAUCUUUGAUGAUUUCUCGGAAACAGUGGCAAAAAGUAUUCAAAUUUUUAUAUUUAAUACAACGAUUCGAUUAUCUUUUCAGUGACGAAUAAUUAUCAUUGGCAUUUUUUUAUCUCGUUUAGAAUGCAGUUGCUCGUUCGUAAGCAGGAUGGGAAAACUAUUUUCGGGGCUUAACUCAUCACAGUGUUGGAAGCCGCUGUAACGAAUAAAAUGUCGGAAAUAAUGAUAGCGGCGAACAAGUUUCUCCCGCAGAAUUGUCCAGUAGAGUGUAACACGAAGAACACGAUAGAAUCGUGGAUGGUUCGAGGCAAAAUGGAGGAUGUGAAUGCGGCACGCCAUGAUUAGAUUGUGGCUUGUGCUCCAGGCGUCCGAGUAGGUUCAGCGCGUUAGCAAAUUCGGUCCGUUGAGUGUUGACAAGUCCACAUCGUACGUACCUUAGCGCGUGGCCUUGUAAUUCUAACGAGCUUAGAGCACCGGUCGCAGCGCAUUUCCAACGUGCCAUGCGUUCUGGCGUUUGAGAUAAGUUCCCGCUCCAGCAGCUCGUCAAGUGAAAACAUUAAAAAAAACUCCUGCAAAACUCUCGCACUACGUUUCAAAUGGAAAAAUCAUUUCAGAACCGGAAUCCGUACACGAAAAAUCUCGUUUGAAAAAUCGAGCUUCGAAUACGAGUUCAAAGUUUCCCGUAUCGAGGCCCCUUUGAAUCCGAGCAGACCACAGUGAUGGGACCGCUGGGCAGCGAACGCUCCAUCAUCCGAAACAACAAAACUGCCAGCAGCUACCAAACGUAAAGUGACAGAUAUCCACCCAAAAGUGAUAUUACAAAGGGAUGUGCAUGUACAUUUGAGGGACCCAAGAGGUAACUUAUGAUUAACAACUCGCAUUAAACUCACAACGGAGCAAAAAUAUUAGUUGGUAUAUCGAGACGUUCUGACGUGAGCACUGAUCGCAUGACCAGAAAUUAUUAGACGAUGAUAUUUUGUUGAUUUUAAUUAUGGGUCAACUCUGAGUGUAAGUCGAGAUCACCGAAUUUGAGCGAUUAUGGCGAGAUCAUUGUAAAAAAAAUUCUCAAAAUAGUUAUCAGCACAAGUUGUACUUUUCUAUUCGCUCAGUGGAAUUCAACCCGAAAUGGAACGUUGGCCGAUAAUUGUUGCAACAUUUCUGAAUACUUAUAAAAAAAAAGCGAGUAUCGGGUGAAUUCGAAUUAAACGAACCCAAUUCCCCGCAAUUGUAUGCAAACGAAUUGGGGAACCGCGAUAAGGCACGAGGAAGAAUAUCUGUGUUGAUUGAUCGUACUCCCUCGACAUGGGAUUGAUGGCGUUUAUUUAAUUUACUCUAUAAAAGUGUGGGCGACUGUGCGCAGUAGCACGGAAGAGGGGAUGGGAAACAGACAGAGAGGUCGAGAGCGAGAGGUCGACAAUAAUUAUGGAUUAUUAGACUACUGACUUGUAUCGUAGUAACGAACAAAGUACAAUCUGAAGUGCAGCAUUGUUGUUGUGGUUUCAAUACCAACGUACGUGAACCAAUUCCAAAAUCAAAGGCUUGGCCGCAUGAAUUAAUCAGUUGAUUAUCUCAACGAUAAAAAGUGAGGAAAAUAUUAUCCAUGCACAAUGUUUAUCAAUAAAUAAAUCAUUUUCAAUGGCAA